This 474-nucleotide ribosomal RNA is filed under the name uncultured bacterium. RNAcentral's name for it is "bacterial SSU rRNA". It matches the Rfam family "Bacterial small subunit ribosomal RNA", at positions 20 to 518 of the family's 1533-position model. The record is from RNAcentral.
UGGCUCAGGAUUAACGCUGGCGGCAUGCCUAAUACAUGCAAGUCGAAUGGGGAGCUUGCUUCCCAUGGCGAACGGGUGAGUAAUACGUAGGUAACCUACCUUUAGGACGAGGAUAACCUUUGGAAACGAAGGAUAAUACUGGAUAGUAUAGAUUUCCGCAUGGAGAUAUAUUUAAAGAUUUAUCACCUAGAGAGGGGCCUGCGGUGCAUUAGCUAGUUGGCGGGAUAAAGCCCACCAAGGCGAUGAUGCAUAGCCGGACUGAGAGGUUGUACGGCCACAAUGGAACUGAGAACGGUCCAUACUCCUACGGGAGGCAGCAGUAGGGAAUUUUCGGCAAUGGGCGGAAGCCUGACCGAGCAAAUGCCGCGUGAAUGAUGAAGUAUUUCGGUAUGUAAAGUUCUUUUAUCUAGGAAGAAAAAACAAAUUGACGGUACUAGAUGAAUAAGCUCCGGCUAACUACGUGCCAGCCGCUGC